Molecule: ribosomal RNA, 519 nt
Filed under: uncultured Nitrosomonas sp.
Lineage: Bacteria; Pseudomonadati; Pseudomonadota; Betaproteobacteria; Nitrosomonadales; Nitrosomonadaceae
Description: bacterial SSU rRNA
Rfam family: Bacterial small subunit ribosomal RNA
Source: RNAcentral
AGUGGGGAAUUUUGGACAAUGGGCGAAAGCCUGAUCCAGCCAUGCCGCGUGAGUGAAGAAGGCCUUCGGGUUGUAAAGCUCUUUUAGUCGGAAAGAAAGAAUUAUGGUUAAUAGCCAUAAUUUAUGACGGUACCGGCAGAAAAAGCACCGGCUAACUACGUGCCAGCAGCCGCGGUAAUACGUAGGGUGCGAGCGUUAAUCGGAAUUACUGGGCGUAAAGGGUGCGCAGGCGGCCUUGCAAGUCAGAUGUGAAAGCCCCGGGCUUAACCUGGGAAUUGCGUUUGAAACUACAAAGCUAGAGUGCAGCAGAGGGGAGUGGAAUUCCAUGUGUAGCAGUGAAAUGCGUAGAGAUGUGGAAGAACACCGAUGGCGAAGGCAGCUCCCUGGGUUGACACUGACGCUCAUGCACGAAAGCGUGGGGAGCAAACAGGAUUAGAUACCCUGGUAGUCCACGCCCUAAACUAUGUCAACUAGUUGUCGGAUCUAAUUAAGGAUUUGGUAACGUAGCUAACGCGUGAA